UGAUUUGAUUUUGAUAAGAAUGUAAGAUUGAUGCUUUUCUCCCUUAGCGCUUUUGUUUUCAAUACGUUUUACUUCUAAAAUCGGCGUUCGAGCAUGGAUAAAUGUUAUGUAAUUAUUUUAUGUUUACUAUGCAACAUUGCGUCAUAUUCGACUAUACGGUAUCUAUAUGGAUAGUAAUACGAUACUUUUCAUCGUGCCAACAAAUACAUUAACCAUGUAUUCACUAAUUUAAAUACAUAUAUGAGUGUGAAAUGAAUAACCGAAUAAUAUAUAUGUUUAUAGUAUUUUGUGCAGCAUUUAUUGUUGCAUACAUAUGUUUGAAACAAAACGCAAAAGCGCAAUGGGAUGUGAGGGGUUUUAUGAACACUCAAAGGGACUUGAUAUUUGGAAAAGUAACGAAUUGUACGUAUACAUCACUAGCUUGCAAUCGCGAAUCCCAGAACGUUGUUUGUAAUAUGACAUGUUUUGAGAUAUUCUGGCUGAAAUACGAAGAACAGAGGGAACGGAAAUUUACUGAAAAACUAAGUAAAUCAAUCAAUAACAAAUCGGACAGUAACGUUGAGUGUAAAAACAAAUCUUGCGAUACAAACAUUCCAUUCACUAAACGGAAGAGGGAGAACACAAAUUCUGAAACGCAUCCAGUGUGCAACGUUGCUUGUAGAAACAGUCCUUGUAACACCUAUAUUUCCUCCAAAGGCCCUCAAGGUAGGGCUGGAAACCUUAUGUUUGAAAUAGCGGCCUUGAUCGGAGUUGCAAAAAGACGAGGUUUAACGCCUCAGUCGCGGUACAAUCAUUACAUAUUUAGAUGGUUUGAAAUGCCGCGGAUUUACGUAAACGUGUCUGCAGUUAACGAAAAAAACUUCGCUGAAAUAAAGUAUGGUACCUAUCAGAAAGCAGUGGAGUCUUUAGAUCGUUGUCAGAAUUGGACGCUAGGUGGUUAUCGUAGUAGCUGGAAAUAUUUUGACAAUGCGAAGGAUGAAGUGCGAAAAAUAUUUACUUUGAAAGCUGAAUUCACCGACAAAGCAAACGCAUUCCUGCAAAACAUAUCAUCACCAGGCGCAGUUAAUGUGUGUGUGCACGUUCGAAGAGGCGAUAUGACAAUUGAUGCUAACGUCAAACGAGGUUAUGUUCCGUCGGACGCAACAUACCUAAAUAGAUCUAUGGACUACUUCAGAAAAAAGCUACGAAAGAAGACAGUCCACUUUGUUGUCCUCAGCAAUGGUAUGGAAUGGUGCAAAAACAAUACGUCAGGACCCGACGUGUUUUACUCCCCUUUUAAAGAAGCUGUUCUAGACUUUGCACUCAUGGUUUGUUGUGAUCACGUAAUUAUAACCAUCGGGACAUUUGGUUGGUGGGGAGCUUGGCUUUCUGGUGGAAUAACCGUGUAUGACACCUCGUGGCCAACAAAAUAUACAUUUGUUGGUAAAGGCUUAAACAGAAGUGAUUAUUAUCCAAAACACUGGAUAGGUCUAUAAAUUUGUUAAACAGUUGUGAGUACGUCGAAUGUGAAGCAUAGAAAUGUAUUUAUAAUAUAUUACGAUCGUAAAUACUCGAUAAUCGAUUAAAAAACUCAGAAAUUGAAGGAAAUAACUUUUAGCCAAAACAACUUUUUUCUCUUACAUCGUAAUAGUAUCUUUUAUCAUAAAAUACUAUUACUAUUUUUCACUGAAAAAUGGCAAUAAGGCAUAAUCUUCUUGUUUACAUUUUAUAAAAUUAUCUCCAUUAAUGCUACAUUCGUAGUUGCAUCGCAUAUUGAUCGGGAUAUAAUUAUUUUAAAGCACCCUUAAAUAAUUCGGGUUCGUUUUCAUCACGUUAUCACGCCAUUCUGUUAUUAGUCGAUCCUUUUCUUUGAAAUCAUGUAUUUCUGAUUCGUCAAUUAUAUAAAUUUCUUGCUUCUAACAACAUUUUUAAAAUUUCUUCUGGCAUGUGUCAUAUCUAUAAAUGUGCACAAUAACUAUUUCUGUAAUACGAAUGUUUUCAAUAUGAGUUGCAAAAAUCUAAUUUAUAGUCCUAUUUGAAAAUGUGUAAAGAAUAUCUUUAACAUCUUUAAUGUUUACUAUUUAAGAUUCAUGUUAUCUUUAAACCGACUUUGGCUGGCUCGGAGUGUUUUUGCACGUGACGUCAUUUUCUUCAAAGAUUUUACAUAGGUAAUCAUUUGGAAGAAAAGAUUAGCUUAUAUAUGUCGCUUUUAUUUUUAAUAAUGUUUUCUUUAUUUGUUCCCAGUUUUAGUACAAUGAUGUUUUUUUAUUAUGAAACUCUAUGAUCACACAUUUUUAAACCUUUUAGUUUAUAAGGCAGACUGUGUGUGAUGCUCAUACUUUCAAACAAUGACUGCAUCGUAUCUUUGAAAAGUGUUUGCAUUAGGUGCUCUGAAUUGUAUAUAUCCGUCUGCAAUAAGAGUUGGGAUAUCUAAUCAUAGAAGUACUUGGGGUUUACCUAUAUAUUUAUUAUUAUUUGUUUGAUUAUUAAGUUUCCUCAAGUUAAUGCAUAAUUUGAUAAGAUUAACCGUUUACUUUUUAUCUUUAUUUAGGAUUGUUGGGAUAAGAGUGAGGUUUAUGCACUUAAACUGGUUUAAACCCCCAGUAAAUUGACAUUUACUGACCGUUCCAAGGCGGUACCUUACAAUCCUUGAUAAAUGCACCUAUUUUUUUAAAAAUAUGCACAGAAAAUGAAAGAAUCCCUUUUUUAAACGAAACUAUGGCAAAAACUAGAAAAUGAAAUGUUUAAGAAACACCUUGAAAACUGAUAACGUUCAACCAUUUAUUUUAUUACUUUAUUCGGGAUUGUUGGUAUACGAAUGAGGUUGUGCACACAAACUGGUUUAAACCCAUAGUUAAUUAAUAUUUUACUGACCGUUCCAAGGCGGUACCUAACAAUCCUUGAUAAACAUACCUAGUUUUAUAUAUAGAGUAAGUAUGUACUGUGCUGUUUGUGGAGUUUUGUGCUGUUCUUCCAUGUUUCAUGAACCAGUGCCAUCAAACCGGGUUUAUGGUUGAACUUUUUGCUACUGAGCUUGUUUCUGUAGUUUUUCGAAUAUACAUUGUAUAAUACUUUGUUUGUAGGUUAAAGAAAACGUUAGUAGAUGCAAGUGUAAAUUAACAGAACACGUAAUUGAUGUUUUUUCAGAAGGAAGUUAGAUUAAGAAGACAGUUACAAAGGUGACAUUUUUGAAUAUCUAUGAAAUGUGUUAAGCUUAGGAGGCUUAAGAAGCUUAUUUCAAUUAGUCAAAAUUACAUACAAAUUCCAAAUCUUUAAGAACAGCAUACAUAGAUAGACUCUCCACACGCUUCAUGUCACGAUGUUAAAAUUUGCACUUACAUUUAAUUUCUCUCUCUCUCUCUCUCUAUAUAUAUAUAUAUAUAUAUAUAUAUAUAUAUAUUUACAUUCACACUUCAUUCCUUAACGAUGGUUUUUGUUUAUCAAUUGCACUUUAUUUCUGUAUAAAGUGCAAUGGCAUUUCCCAUGGAUAUCGCGUGCGUUUAUUCGAUACUUCUGUCCUGUCAUUGGGCGCAAUAAUACAAAUGGGCGGAGCUUAUUUACUACGGAACUAUUUUUUCAAUGAAAUCGUAGUAAAAUUAUUGACAACCUGUCAAAAUAAGGCAGACGACGAAAACUUCAGUAAACAAGGGAAAACAAAAUGAGCAACGAUAAUUUAAUUGAUUUUAAUCUAUAUUUUAAUUUCAUGAUGGAUGGAUCAUUUGUAGAACUAUUAUAUGACAAUGAUGAUGACUUAUUUCGGGAUUUGGAAUUAACAUUUAGUAAUUGUAAAGCAUCUGACAAUUCAACAAAAUAUGAAAUCAAGGAAUUGAAACAAGAACAGAAGGAAGAAGGAGAACUGAAGGAAGAACAAGAAGAUUGUACCAGGUUUAGAAGGGUUGGCGAGGAAGACAUAAAGGUUUUUGAAGGGUCUCACCAGUCAAAGAGAACAAGAGAAAACACAAAAUGGGCAGUAAAGGUAUUUCAAGAUUGGCAUAGAUCUAGGUAUGCUGGGCCUCUAAACACAUCUACUGUCUCAGAAGAGUUACUUGGCCAGAUUUUGGGCAAGUUCCACUGCGAAGUCGCACCGCAGCCAUCAGAAAGGCGCUUAAAGGCUUUCGGAGCUUGGUCUUAGGUGUACCACAAGAAUAGUAUGAAGAACAUACGAUCUGGUCUGAACAGACAUCUGACCGACCUUGGCCGCAACAUGGACAUUGUUCAUGGCACAUCAUUUAAGGUUGCAAAUCGCACACUUGAUGGCUUCAUGAAGAAACAAACUAAGGCCGGACUUUCCCGACCCACACAUCACAAGCCUAUCAUCGAGCAAAGCGACCUUGAAACCAUUUCCAGGUUCUUCGCCAAUGCUCCAUGCUCUCCAAUUAUUCUUCGACAGUGUGUAUGGUUCCAACUUGCUCUCCACUUCGUGUCACGCGGCCUUGAAUUUCAUCACCAGCUUCAAAUCGACUCCUUUGAGUUUACUGCAGACCAUGAUGGAAUUGAGUAUGUCACCCUGAAGCACGAGACGCAGAAAAAAAUAUUCCAGGGUGGGCUUACCAAGGAUGAGGCUCCAUCAGACCGUAGAAUGUAUACGACAGGUGGCCCAUGUUGUCUUGUAGCAAUGUUAAAGUUACUCAUCAAUAAAACCGACAAAUCGGCGCCUAUGCUGUUUAAUGCCUGCUUCAAGGAUGCCAUCGCAAGACCUGAGGCAAAUGACAUUUGGUUCACCAAUGCGCCUCUGUCAAAGCGGUCGUACAGCAGUUUCAUGGCUGACAUUUGCAAAGCAAGCAAAAUAACAGGUUGGUACACCGCGCACAGUGUCAGGGCCACAGCUAUCCAAGCAAUGAACGACAGUGGCUUUGAAGCUCGUCAUAUUAUGUUCAUGUCCGGGCACAGGAAUGAGGCAUCAUUAAAGUCGUAUUGCAGGGCACCCAGCGACGUCCAGAAAAAAGAGCUCAGUUCAACACUGAGUCUUCUCGCGUCCUCUGGCUCUACUUCCGCAAACAUUCCCAUUGAUAAACACGUUACCCCACCCACCGCCACAGGCUUUUCAUCCGAUGUUAAAGUCCAGAGAAAUGAAAAUACACUUGCAGAUUUGUCUAACACCAUAUUUCAACAUAGUUCUUUCGCCAACUGCUUCUUUAACAUAACGCUAAACAAGUAAUUUACUGGAAUUUAUCUUAAAGUUGACAAGUCGUGUUUAACAAAUACGUUGGGUCGCGUUUAUCGCGAGAUAUGAUGAGAACUUUGCAUGUGGCGAUAUUUUUGUUGUUUUCUUGUUAUUGUAAAUGUUCCUUACUCCAGUUGUAUUUUCCUAGUUGUAAAACAGUUAUAAUGUGUAUUUAUAAUAUACUUGUCCUUGAAAAUAUAAAAACUGAACCUAUAAAUAAGGAACUAUUCUAUCUGCGCAUUCAUUGUUUUAUGACAUUCGGUUGAACAGCAGCUGUU
This is an RNA transcript of Mya arenaria, 5421 nucleotides long. RefSeq lists it as uncharacterized. The transcript has 3 exons. The record is from RefSeq and is a predicted model, not a curated record. NCBI's taxonomy places the organism in Eukaryota, Metazoa, Mollusca, Bivalvia, Myida, Myidae.